GACGAACGCUGGCGGCGUGCUUAACACAUGCAAGUCGAACGGAAAGGCCCUGCUUUUGUGGGGUGCUCGAGUGGCGAACGGGGGAGUAACACGUGAGUAACCUGCCCUUGACUUUGGGAUAACUUCAGGAAACUGGGGCUAAUACCGGAUAGGAGCUCCUGCUGCAUGGUGGGGGUUGGAAAGUUUCGGCGGUCGGGGAUGGACUCGCGGCUUAUCAGCUUGUUGGUGGGGUAGUGGUUUACCAAGGCUUUGACGGGUAGCCGGCCUGAGAGGGUGACCGGCCUCAUGGGGACUGCGAGACGGCCCAGACUCCAACGGUAGGCAGUAGUGGGGAAUAUUGCACAAUGGGACGAAGCCUGAUGAAGCAACGCCGCGGGCGGGAAGACGGCCUUCGGGGUGUAAACCGCUUUCGCCUGUGACGAAGCGUGAGUGACGGUAAUGGGUAAAGAAGCACCGGCUAACUACGUG
RNAcentral lists this ribosomal RNA (468 nucleotides) under uncultured bacterium. Its description in RNAcentral is "partial 16S ribosomal RNA". It matches the Rfam family "Bacterial small subunit ribosomal RNA", at positions 28 to 507 of the family's 1533-position model. The record is from RNAcentral.